This is a long non-coding RNA of Halichondria panicea, 3036 nucleotides long. RefSeq lists it as uncharacterized. NCBI's taxonomy places the organism in Eukaryota, Metazoa, Porifera, Demospongiae, Suberitida, Halichondriidae. The transcript has 5 exons. The record is from RefSeq and is a predicted model, not a curated record.
CCCAUAAACGAGAGAAUGGAGAAAGCUAUGGAGCCUCCCUCGCUGUUAGGGAUGCUAGAGACAACCUCGUCACUGAACAGGGAUAUGGAGGCCCUCAGGAAUGAGCACAAGUCACUACUCACCCAUUAUCAAGAGGCUGUGGAUCACACUAUAGGUACAGGGAACAUUGUCGGUGGUUUGCUGCUGUCUGUGUAUCUGUUGUUGAGAGCAAGUGAUAGUCUGCAAAGUGUCUAUAUAUGUGGGAACCCUCUUCACCCGUGGACUUGCGACAAUGCUGCAAAAUUCAAGACUAAGCGAAGGCUGUUACGAUGUUUUGCUGCCCCAAGAGCCAUUGCAUUACAUUACCUGGUUCCCUUGCUGCUGGUGGCCUAUGCUGGUCUAGGAGUGGCCUUAGAACUCUGAGCUACUCUAUCUGACUAACGAUGAUGACGAGAGAUACAGUAUUCAAGCACAUCCCGAGUAAAAGACUGUGCCGGCGCCAAAAUGCGCGCAUGCGUCUUCUGUGCCCUGUUCCCUAUAAAAGUUGGAAAUUUAUCAGUGAAUCCUCAUUCUUCAACCUUCCUUCAAGAGGGCUGACUAGACUCUGAUGGUGGGCUCUCCAGCUGGUGACAUCUGACAAAGUUAAGUGCUUGGUGUUUAGUUUAUUGUAUUGUUCAUGUCUAUUUGUAAACUGGUUGCGUUUGCGCGUACAGGGUUUUCGGUAACGGUCGAUUUGUCGAGUUGUUUGUUUGUUUUUGUCUUCGUGCUGUUGGUUUGUUCUUGUUGUGUGGUUUUUUGCCACACUUGUUGUGUGGUUUUUUGCCACACUUAUUGUGUGGUUUUUUACCACACUUGUUGUGUGUUUUUUGCCACACUUGUUGUGUGGUUUUUUGCCACUGUUGUGUGGUUUUUUGCCACACUUGUUGUGUGGUUUUUUGCCACACCUGUGUGUUUUUUUGCCACACUGUUGUGUGGUUUCAUCUGUUGUAUUUCUCCUAGCCUAAAGUGUUUUGUAAUGGUUGAUCAUGUCAAUUCUUUUUUACAGAGUGUUCCUUUGUUCCUGCUUGUUCCUGCUUGUUCCUGCUUGCUGCUGUGUCUUGAGGAGUGGUUGUUGUUUUGUGUAACAUUUUGUACUUGUUAAUCCAUCUAAUUUAUGCAGAUUUCAGGUACUUCUGCGGGUGUGGCUGUACCGACUCUGGAAGUAAGUUGUCAGUUAAAAGCGCCACUCUAAUCUUAGCGCCCAAAACUCUAAACUAAAGCCUAUUUAAAGCUAACCUAAGUUUAUCUCCGCUCUAACGAAAAUGCUUUUUACUGUGGCAAUUUAUGCUGUAUAAUUAUGUACUAUUGUGCGUGCCUGUUACCGCCUGUGUGUGUGUGUGUCUGUUACCGCCUGUGUGUGUGUGUCUGUUACCGCCUGUGUGUGUGUGUGUCUGUUACCGCCUGUGUGUGUGUGUGUCUGUUACCGCCUGUGUGUGUGUGUGUGCAUGAGUAUUUGUGCUCUAUGUUUUUUUUUUGCAUGUGUUACUAAAUUGGUGGCCUUUUGUGUGUGUGUAACUUUCAAUUGUUGUUGUCGUGUGACAUGUGUGUGAGUGUGACCUCUCGUUGCGUGCGUGUGCGUGGUUUCAAAUUGGUGGCCUCUUGUGUGUGUGUGUGUAUCUUUCAAUUGUUGUCGUGUGACAUGUGUGUGAGUGUGACCUCUCGUUGCGUGCGUGUGCGUGGUUUCAAAUUGGUGGCCUCUUGUGUGUGUGUAACUUUCAAUUGUUGUUGUGUGACAUGUGUGUGAGUGUGACCUCUCGUUGCGUGCGUGUGCGUGGUUUCAAAUUGGUGGCCUCUUGUGUGUGUGUGUGUAACUUUCAAUUGUUGUUGUGUGACAUGUGUGUGAGUGUGACCUCUUCUUGCGUGCGUGUGCGUGGUUUCAAAUUGGUGGCCUCUUGUGUGUGUGUGUGUAUCUUUCAAUUGUUGUUGUGUGACAUGUGUGUGAGUGUGACCUCUUCUUGCGUGCGUGUGCGUGGUUUCAAAUUGGUGGCCUCUUGUGUGUGUGUGUGUAUCUUUCAAUUGUUGUUGUGUGACAUGUGUGUGAGUGUGACCUCUUCUUGCGUGCGUGUGCGUGGUUUCAAAUUGGUGGCCUCUUGUGUGUGUGUGUAUCUUUCAAUUGUUGUCGUGUGACAUGUGUGUGAGUGUGACCUCUCGUUGCGUGCGUGUGUGUGGUUUCAAAUUGGUGGCCUCUUGUGUGUGUGUGUGUAUCUUUCAAUUGUUGUUGUGUGACAUGUGUGUGAGUGUGACCUCUUCUUACGUGCGUGUGCGUGGUUUCAAAUUGGUGGCCUCUUGUGUGUGUGUGUGUAUCUUUCAAUUGUUGUUGUGUGACAUGUGUGUGAGUGUGACCUCUUCUUGCGUGCGUGUGCGUGGUUUCAAAUUGGUGGCCUCUUGUGUGUGUGUGUAUCUUUCAAUUGUUGUCGUGUGACAUGUGUGUGAGUGUGACCUCUCGUUGCGUGCGUGUGCGUGGUUUCAAAUUGGUGGCCUCUUCUGUGUGUGUGUGUGUAUCUUUCAAUUGUUGUCGUGUGACAUGUGUGUGAGUGUGACCUCUCGUUGCGUGCGUGUGCGUGGUUUCAAAUUGGUGGCCUCUUGUGUGUGUGUGUGUAUCUUUCAAUUGUUGUCGUGUGACAUGUGUGUGAGUGUGACCUCUCAUUGCGUGCGUGUGCGUGGUUUCAAAUUGGUGGCCUCUUGUGUGUAUGUGUUUGUCAUUAAUAAUUAUUAUUAAAAUUGUUACUGUAAAAAGUAUAAUAAAGACGCCACUCUAAUGUAGACCUAAACUCUAUACCAAAUUUUAAACACAAUUUAAAUAGUUUCGUACAUGGCUUUUUCACGUGAAACAAACUAAUCUAGCUAGCACUUUAAAUAAAUAUUAAGACAGCAUUAGAGGUAGGACAGCAUUAGUGGUAGAGGCAUUAGUGGUAGUGGUAUUAGUGGUAGUGGUAAUACACGCCUUUUCACGCCUUUUCACGUGACUAGUUAGCUAGCUAGCUAGCCGAGCUAGCUGCAAUAGUGGUAUGGGCAGGC